GACGAACGCUGGCGGCGUGCUUAACACAUGCAAGUCGAACGGAAAGGCCCUGCUUUUGUGGGGUGCUCGAGUGGCGAACGGGUGAGUAACACGUGAGUAACCUGCCCUUGACUUUGGGAUAACUUCAGGAAACUGGGGCUAAUACCGGAUAGGAGCUCCUGCUGCAUGGUGGGGGUUGGAAAGUUUCGGCGGUUGGGGAUGGACUCGCGGCUUAUCAGCUUGUUGGUGGGGUAGUGGCUUACCAAGGCUUUGAAGGGUAGCCGGCCUGGGAGGGUGGCCGGCGACAUGGGGACUGCGAUACGGCCCAGCAGCCUACGGGAGGCAGCAGUGGGGAAUAUUGCACAAUGGGCGGGAGCCUGAUGCAGCAACGCCGCGUGCGUGAUGACGGCCUUCGGGUUGUAAACCGCUGUCGCCUGUGACGAAGCGUGAGUGACGGUAAUGGGUAAAGAAGCACCGGCUAACUACGUG
Molecule: ribosomal RNA, 468 nt
Filed under: uncultured bacterium
Lineage: Bacteria
Description: partial 16S ribosomal RNA
Rfam family: Bacterial small subunit ribosomal RNA
Source: RNAcentral